This 1369-nucleotide ribosomal RNA is filed under the name uncultured bacterium. RNAcentral describes it as "bacterial SSU rRNA". It matches the Rfam family "Bacterial small subunit ribosomal RNA", at positions 28 to 1381 of the family's 1533-position model. The record is from RNAcentral.
GACGAACGCUGGCGGCGUGCCUAAUACAUGCAAGUAGAACGCUGAAGAGAGGAGCUUGCUCUUCUUGGAUGAGUUGCGAACGGGUGAGUAACGCGUAGGUAACCUGCCUUGUAGCGGGGGAUAACUAUUGGAAACGAUAGCUAAUACCGCAUAACAAUGGAUGACACAUGUCAUUUAUUUGAAAGGGGCAAUUGCUCCACUACAAGAUGGACCUGCGUUGUAUUAGCUAGUAGGUGAGGUAAUGGCUCACCUAGGCGACGAUACAUAGCCGACCUGAGAGGGUGAUCGGCCACACUGGGACUGAGACACGGCCCAGACUCCUACGGGAGGCAGCAGUAGGGAAUCUUCGGCAAUGGGGGCAACCCUGACCGAGCAACGCCGCGUGAGUGAAGAAGGUUUUCGGAUCGUAAAGCUCUGUUGUAAGUCAAGAACGGGUGUGAGAGUGGAAAGUUCACACUGUGACGGUAGCUUACCAGAAAGGGACGGCUAACUACGUGCCAGCAGCCGCGGUAAUACGUAGGUCCCGAGCGUUGUCCGGAUUUAUUGGGCGUAAAGCGAGCGCAGGCGGUUUGAUAAGUCUGAAGUUAAAGGCUGUGGCUCAACCAUAGUUCGCUUUGGAAACUGUCAAACUUGAGUGCAGAAGGGGAGAGUGGAAUUCCAUGUGUAGCGGUGAAAUGCGUAGAUAUAUGGAGGAACACCGGUGGCGAAAGCGGCUCUCUGGUCUGUAACUGACGCUGAGGCUCGAAAGCGUGGGGAGCGAACAGGAUUAGAUACCCUGGUAGUCCACGCCGUAAACGAUGAGUGCUAGGUGUUGGAUCCUUUCCGGGAUUCAGUGCCGCAGCUAACGCAUUAAGCACUCCGCCUGGGGAGUACGACCGCAAGGUUGAAACUCAAAGGAAUUGACGGGGGCCCGCACAAGCGGUGGAGCAUGUGGUUUAAUUCGAAGCAACGCGAAGAACCUUACCAGGUCUUGACAUCCCGAUGCCAUUUCUAGAGAUAGAAAGUUACUUCGGUACAUCGGUGACAGGUGGUGCAUGGUUGUCGUCAGCUCGUGUCGUGAGAUGUUGGGUUAAGUCCCGCAACGAGCGCAACCCCUAUUGUUAGUUGCCAUCAUUCAGUUGGGCACUCUAGCGAGACUGCCGGUAAUAAACCGGAGGAAGGUGGGGAUGACGUCAAAUCAUCAUGCCCCUUAUGACCUGGGCUACACACGUGCUACAAUGGUUGGUACAACGAGUUGCGAGUCGGUGACGGCGAGCUAAUCUCUUAAAGCCGAUCUCAGUUCGGAUUGUAGGCUGCAACUCGCCUACAUGAAGUCGGAAUCGCUAGUAAUCGCGGAUCAGCACGCCGCGGUGAGUACGUUCCCGGGCCU